GCUUAUUAAGGUAUUAACUAUUUAAUUUAAAUCAUUUUAAUACCUAAGAUUCAGCUAACAUCCCCCCUAUAAUGAUGUUCUUAGGACUGAAUAUGAUAAAGCCUAUAAAACAAAGAGCUACUAUCAUUUCUUCAUAGAUUGAGAUCUUCUUGGAACUUAAUGCUAUCUUUCAAAACGUCUCAAAUACCUUAGUACAUCUCUAAUGAUUACGAUCAUUUUUUCAUUCUAAACGAUUACACUAAAAUGAGUUUUUCAAAAAUAAUAAUAUUUCAAGUAUAUUCUCACUUACUAUUUUUUUUUAAUUUUUAAAAACACCAUUUAAUUUUUAAUAGUCCCAUAUAUUGAGAAAAAAGAAACAUAAAAAAAUUAGGGAAAUUAUUUUCCAAUGGUACAUCAUUUUGAAAAGAAAAGGAUUAGUUUGAUGUAUUAAUUUAAUAUUCACAAUUUUACUUUUUCCUAGAAAAUGAUGUAAGUAAAAAAAAAAUCCUCAUUUUUUAAAUAUUUCCUCUCAAAAUAAGGGACCAAAAGACAUGGUUUUAAUUGUUAGAUCAUGCAAACCACAAAAAUUAUAAUUUCCUAGGCUCCUAGCUACUUGAACAAAUUGAAUCGUUGUUAAAUUGUUUAUUCAUUAAUUUAUUUUGACCAUGAUUUGAGUAAUUGGCUCAUCGCGUUGGUACUUAAUCGGGUGAUAAAUUGAUAAUGAUACGAUGAAAGACAAUCUCACUUCAAUUACGCAGAAAAUGGACAACGAUCAAUAGAAACAGAGUCACAUGCAGUCAUAUAAUACCACAGAGGCUGGUCCCAUGCGAUAUAAAUAGAUUACAACAAACACUCGUGUAGAGGCACGUGUUCUAUUUGUUCGUGUCUAGGUUCAACGUAUCUGGCAACCAUAAUAAUAAUAAUAACAACAACAAAAAAUUGGUUUUUUAGUAAUUUGCAAAAUGGUCUUGUAUAUUUUAACUGGUUUGUGAAUUGUGAAUCAAUUUUAACACUACAUGAAUAUCGGGUUUUAAUAGCACUAUACAAUAGCGUUUGUAGUCAUUCUGCUAUUGUUAGAGGACCUCUGAACUUUCAAUAGCGUUUCUACCUUGUUGAAACGCUAUGGAUAGUAUUUCACAAUUUUUACUAUGACGCGGAAGUAUAUUUAAUAGCAUUACCAUAUUAAAACGCUAUUGAAAAGGUUGGGCGCUAAAAAUUUCCCAUUCCCGCUACUACACUUAGAAAUAUUUUUGGGCAUAGUUUCUUUUUCCCCUUAGCUCAUCUUUGUCGACUUUACUCUUCAAUUUUUAGGGUUUCCUCUUUCUCUCCUCUUUGCUAUCUCCGACAGACACAAAACACAAAUUUCCGAAAAAUUUCAACCUCUUUGCUCUCUCCGCAUCUUCCUUAGGUUCUCCCAUCUUCCUUGUAUGCUCGAUCUGUUUGGGAAUCCCACUAAAUCGAAGGUAAAUCCCACUUAAUCACAAAUUUGUUCUUGAUUUGUAGAGAGAGAGCUGCGAGAUGACGAUUUGGGUUUGGGUUUGGUCGAUUUAGGAAUUUGAGGAUUUAGAAUUUGGGGAUUUAGGGAUUUGAGGAUUUAGGUAGAAUCGCUUACACAUUUGAGACUGUAUCUACAUGUUCUUUGAACUGCUUUGAGCUGCUUUGUGUAUCUUUCACAUCUUCCUUGUUAACUUGAGUCCUAACAAUUUGAAACUAGAUCUGGUCUGACAUUUACUUCAAUGUGCAGGUCGUAGUCGAACCAGUAUCCAAACACAUCACUUGUCCAGAUUGAAGGAGUCAACACCCAAGAGAAGGUAAACAGAGCCAAAUCAAAGACUAAUAAUGAAAUCGAUUUCUUUUAAUUUUUGUUGGAUUAGUAGAUUUAUUGAUUUGAGUUUAAUUGAUUUCUAUUUUUGCUUUUUCUGUUGUAGUUCGAGUUAAUCAGAAGAGAACAAACUCUAUCAGGUAUAUGAUUCUUCUAUCAGAUUACUUGUAUUGUUGUUUUGGCUUUGAAAGUGACUGCCUCUGAAAAUUACUUGUAUGCACAUUUGGUCGGAGCUCUUGUGAAAUGGAUAAAGCUUGGGUUUGGUUGCCAAGGUAUUAACUUGUUCUUACAUAUAUGCAUUGAUUUCAUUUUAUGAUUGACUGUUCUCAGUUUGUAAUGGGUACUAUUUGUUAACUUGUAGGAAUAACCUUGAGUAUGAAACAGGAGCAACUAAGUUUGUGGUUGAAUCAGCAAGUAAUUUGGGUAAUCCAUCAGAAAUGUUCUGAAAUUCAAGUAAUAUCUGAUGCAGUAGGAAACUGGGUGGCUUGGCCUAACAAGCAUAUUGUAUUCAUGUGAGCAUAAGUUUGUGUCAAAAAACAUUGUUCUAUCUCAUGGUGUAGUACUACUCUUUGUAUGAUCUUUUAAAAUGACAGGUUUUAAAUCCAGUUUUAAUUUUAAGUUUAAUUUAAAGUCUUCAUAAUUUAAAUAUUAUGAAGUACUAAUAUUAUAUAUAAUUACAAUAUUAUAUAUAAUAUUAAAAACAACAAAUAUCAAUUUUUCUAAAUGCUUAACUUUUUAAUAACACACAAAAAACGCUAUUAUAUAAUUUAUAAUAGCAGAAAAGAAAACGCUAUGUUAUAUAAGCAUUUAUAGCAUUACAGAAAAACGCUAUCUAAAGUCACUUACCUAUUAUAGCGGGCGUAUAUACAGCGCUUUCAAAAACGCUAUUAUAUCUUUAGACAGCGUUUUUCAGACGCUUUUAAUACCCGAUAUUCCUGUAGUGUAAUUGGAGUAUUAAAUAGGGUAAUAUUAGUCGAUAGCCAAAUUAGACACAUAAAUUAAGAAACUAGCAGAAAAAAGGUUUUUCUCGGAAAACAGCGAUGGACCCACGUUGUCAGAGGAUGUGAAAUAACAAAACUAUCCUCCGUUUGUUUUGAGAUCAACAGUAGGCAAGAUUGUUUCGUGAUAUUUUUCAAAAUAGCACGUAAGAUCUAAAUUUCACAUAUUAUAUUUAACUAAAAGACAUGAUAUUUCAAAAAACGUAGUGAAUUUUUAAGAAAAAACAUUUUUAUGUAGUGUUUUUUUUUUUUAAAAAACAUUGUUAUAGAAAAAUUAAACUUGAAUAGAAUUUUUUUUUAAAGAAAUAACAUGUAAUCUUAAUAAAAACCGUGAAUUACUAUAAAAUAAGAAUGUUUUUUAAAGAAAUCACAUGUGAUAAUAAUAAAAAACAUGUAUUACUACAAAAUAACAUGAUAGAGAGAUAUUAAACUGAAUAGAGUGUUUUUUUCAAGAAAUACCAUGUGCUCUUUAUAAAUAACGUGUAAUACGACAAAAUCUAUAUUAUUAAUUGGGAAGCAUUGGAUAAUAAAUAACCUUAUAAAGGGUAAAAAAUUACAAAAAAUGCCAUUGGUUUUUAAUGUUUUUAAAUAACUUCAUUAAGGGUACAAUAGUAAUCACAAAAUUAAUAUAUUUAAAUAAAAAAUAGUUUAAUUCUUUUAAAUACUUAUUAAUUUCCAAAAAAUAAACUAAUUUUCUCUCUCUUAUUAAUUAUAAACGAAAAUUUGAAAUUAAUUUUUUAAAAUUGUUAACCAAUAGGAAUUGAAAAACUAAGAUUUGAUAUCCAACUAAGAUUUUUUCUAAACCAAUCCUAAUAGACUAUUCUAUAUCAAAAAUAAAAAUAAAAAUAAUAUCAUUUUAAUUCAAAAUUAAAAAAAAACUAUCAUUUAAAAAGAUUUAUCAAUGGAGGAUUUUAAGAUUGAAUUUGAAAUUUGGUAAAAAAAUUAAAUGCAAAUAUUUUAAUAUUCAGUUUUGUUAUAAUAUUUUUAUUACAAAUUUUGAAAUAUAAAACGAAAUUUUAUUUCAUAAUUUCUAAAAAACCAUAUUAAAUAUUAACAAAUAUUUAUUUUUACUAUGAAAUAAACUCAAAUAAUAAUAAAUUUUAAGUAAUUAUCAUAAUGGUUUUCGUUUAGAGCAAUUUUCGAAAAAAUCUAAACAAUAGAAUGUACAUAUUAAUUUUGAAAUAUUUUGUGUUUUAUUUUUUUCUUUUCAACUCAGAUCUUCCUUAAAUAAUAACUAGAUGCAAAUAUUAUUUAAGGAAGAUUUUAAGAUUGAAUUUGAAAUUUGGUAAAAAAAUUAAAUGCAAAUAUUUUAAUAUUCAGUUUUGUUAUAAUAUUUUUAUUACAAAUUUUGAAAUAUAAAACGAAAUUUUAUUUCAUAAUUUCUAAAAAACCAUAUUAAAUAUUAACAAAUAUUUAUUUUUACUAUGAAAUAAACUCAAAUAAUAAUAAAUUUUAAGUAAUUAUCAUAAUGGUUUUCGUUUAGAGCAAUUUUUGAAAAAAUCUAAACAAUAGAAUGUACAUAUUAAUUUUGAAAUAUUUUGUGUUUUAUUUUUUUCUUUUCAACUCAGAUCUUCCUUAAAUAAAUCCAUAAUAUAUUGCACACAGUUUUUGAAAUUAUGUAAACUAAUUAUAUAUUUUGCAUUCAACACAAAUUAUGCAGCAAUAGCAUAUCCCUUUUAUAGAUGUAUCUAAAACUUUUAUUUUUAGUCCAAAUAUUGAACUAAUUAUGAUUAAACAAUGAAAAGAAGAAUAUGCAAAAUUUAGCUAAGGAAAGAAACAUUAAUAAAUUUGUUAAAAUAUUUGAAACUUUAACAUCAUACAUAUUAAUCCGCAAAACUCACAGUAUGUAUUUUAUGGUAUUUUAAAGUAAGCAAACAAGAAUUUGGAACAUGGUUUUAAUGGAAUGAAAUGAGAAUAAGAAUUACGAGACGGGAUGGCAGGGGAACAUAAAUUAAAAAUCAAACUUAAUACUCAACUGGUAUGAGUUUGUGUUAUGAGCACUAUAUAAAAUAAAUUUGUUUACACACAUAUUAUACGUACGUUUUUAGUUACAAUUUAUGACAGAUACGGGACCGUAAUAUUUUUAUUUCACGUAUACGAGACGGGUUAUGGGACGAAAAAUUUAUGACAUAUACAAGACGGGAUAGGUUUCCUGUUCCAAAAUUGUUACGCCUAGCUAAUAUACAUGAAAUAAUCCAAACUAAACCGAAUAUGUAUCCUAUUUAACACAUGUAAUCAAACUGUUAGAAAUGUUUUGAAUAGUUUAGAAAAUAAAAACGUAACAUCACUUAACUUUUGCAACUAAAUAAUAUCUUAAUUUUAUAUUAAAUACAAUUUCACACGUACGUGUAGGUCCGAAUCUUAAAAUUUAACUAUGCACUAACGCAACUAAAUUUCGUUCAUUGCUCUAACUUUAUAAUAUCUAUAUUAUUACAAAGUUCACUAACACAACAAAAUAUUUUAUAUUUUUAAAAUCUAUAUAACAAUUUCUAAAAAAAAUAUCUCUGCACGUACAUGUGGAUCUAAAUCUAAUACACUAAAAUAUACAUCAUAAAAACAAUAAAAUAAUCUAUAUUGUAUGAAAAUUUGUAAGAAAUGUUUUUGAAAUAUGAAACUCCGCACGUACGUGCGGGUCAGGAUCUAGUAAUAUGAUAAAAGAGAUAUAUUAUUCUAUCACUUAUAAUUCGAGAAAAAAGCAUGUUAUAAAGGGCAUGUACGUAAUUACAUGUGCUUCCCGACAUGAUACCGACAAAUUACUGUAGCGUAUGACUAUUUUCUUAAUUAUCCUCAAAAAUUUGGCUAUUUUGUGCAUAUUUCCUAUUAAAUAACAUUAGAUUUUAAAUAAUAUUUAGAAAUCACUAAACGAAUACCAUUUCAUUUUGACCAACAAUUUAUUUUUUAAUGCAUAUUACGAUGUCAUCAAAAUUUUAAAAUUCUUUAUAUGUUGAUUGAUUUAAGUUCGAUUUAAAAAUUUAAAUCAUAUCAAGAAUAAAUAUAAAAUAAUUACAGUAUUCAUAUAUUAAAUAUAUAUAUAUAUAUAUAUGCAUAUAUUAUGAUUCAAAUUUUUGAAAAGGACAUAAAUUACUCAACAUAUAACAUAAAUAGCGUAUAAAAUUCACACACGUGCAGCUUUGAAAAUUAGUGGUGAUAAUUAAGAGUAUGAUAUUUUAUGUGAUGCAAAGGGUGGUAUUUAUAGUGAAGUGAAGUUAGUUUACUGUGUGGUCUCGUCUUAUGACGAUAAUAUGGGCAACGAGGAGAUAACUCAGAUAAUAAGUGUACGUGAAUGGCUUCGAGUGAUGCAAAUGCUUUCUGGCCCCAUUAUGUUUUAUAACCGAAGAGAUAUUUCACUUACACCACUCGUUUCUUGAGCACGUUGUGACCGUGCUAAAUUUAGAAUUCGGCGUUUUGUUGUUUCAUUUUUAUUAUUAUCGUAGGCUUUUAUUCUUGUGAAUUUUGAACCAGAGUUUCGGUUUACAGAAUACUAAUUCUGUGAAGCUGUUCCACAUUAUUAGCAAAAAAAAUGUUUGUGCCUAUGAUGGACUUGGGUAAUACUUGUGUUGGCGGGAAUACUUUCUUGUAUAAUUGGCAUAUAUAACAAUGAACUACGAGGUAUUGAAAAAAUACGCAUUUGAACCUAAAUAUUUUUAGAAGACGAGUUUAUGUUUUAUAUAAGUGUCAUUUGAUCUUUUUUCUCGUAACAACUUAUUUUUAAUAUAAUAUUAGAGUUUAGUAUUUCGGUGUUAUAUACGACGUUAAGUAAUAAAUUAAAUAUUUACAUAAAAAGUAAUAUGUUACGAAAAAGUAACCAUGUUAUGAAGAAAAAGUAAUAUGUUACGAAAAAGUAACCAUAUUUCCAUAAAACUUAAACAAAACCACAAUCCAAAAAAAAUAUUCAUUAUUUAAUGGCAAUAAUUUAAAUAACUAUAUUUUUUUUUGGUUGGAUAUUUUUUUGUACCAUAUUUACUUUUUGUCGGAUUAUAAAUAUACUUUUCGUGUGCUGAUGAAACCAAAUUAUUUUGCAACAUUAACGAGUGAUUAUACAGUACAAUAAUUAAACGUGUCUUACAACAUGAAGACACAUAUUAAACUUUAAUCUACGAGAUUGUGACAUUCUGCUAUAUAUAUCAUAAACAUAUUUUACAUCUCAUAAUGUAAAACUAUAGCAAUAUUUUUGUUCCAAAUUUUUCAAAAUUCAUUUUUACUUUUAUUUAACUAAUAAGUGCUAAAUUAGUUUCCAAUACAUUCAAUUUUUUUUUUUAUUAACUUCAAAUUGUUACGUAUCAUUUCAUUUCAUGGCCACUUGAUUAAUUAUCCCUAUAAAGAAAAACAACAUUUAGUACGAAGUCUUUGUUCUUAUUAAGUUACGAUAGGAUAGACAUUUUAUUUAUGCAGCGGUGCCUAAACGGCUACAAACAUAAACGGAAAGACAUAGAUAUGCAGUGGAUACAAGGGGACAAAGACAUGAUGAUAGAUGCUUAAGAAGGUACGUAGUAGAGUGGAUUUGGGAGCUUAAAGACCCUUCCAGGAGUAUCCUCAACCAAAUCAGCCCAUUGGUCUCCAAUAUUCCCAACGAUGUUGUAUCCUUUCUUCACCAGGCUCUUCCUCACCUUUGACUUGUACACCACUUCCGGCAAUUUCGAAUGGUUUGGCCUGCGUUGCCAUAUUUAAUUAAUCCUCGAUUAAAUUGCAUAUACAUCAUACUUACUUACUGUAUAUUAUUAAGCUUACUUGAAUAUAAGAUGCUUCCAUUUUGUCACACCAGCAGCCUUGAGAUUAUCGAGAGUGACUUCUGACAACCUCUUCCAUCGGUCAGAGAUUAUGAUGGGUUCAAUCCCGAGUUCUAAGAGGUUCCUGUAUAGAUGCAAAGUCUCCGGGAGUCCUGGAGUUGAUUCUCCGGACCUUAACCACGACCAGUACGCCCCCGGGGCUGUGUUCUGUGUCCUAAGAAUCCCAAAAAAAAAAAAAAACAAAUCUACUUUAAAAUGAAAUCACAAAGUAGAUAUGGACUACAAAAGAAAAACAGUUUGUAUCAAACUAUUUAGAUUUGUCAAAUGAAACGUGUUUUUCCAUAUAUAUAUGACAUUUUCAAAUGAAGAUAAUAUUGUUAAUGCAAUGGAGAUGGUGUAGGUAGAACUAAUAACAAUAAUAUGUAUACCCGUAUCCAUAUUUGGCGUAGUAGGGGAUACUAGAGAGGAGAGUGUCGUCUAUGUCAAAUAUCCAAACAUUGACGGUAUCGUUCUUUAGGGCAAGUCCUUUGGCAUAGAAAUAAGCCUCUUUGCACACCGUUUUGGAGUCAGAUUGAUAUUGUUUGGAAGUGAUCAAGUAGUCUUCAACAUAGUCUUUGCAAUUUGCGGGCACGGUGUCGAAGUCUAUGAUGUUAGAGGUCUCAACACCAAGGUGCCAGCUUCUACAGUUGUGGUAGUUGAUGGAAAGUCCCUCUUUCUCUAAGAGUUCGGCUUCGUCCCCAAAGAUGGUGUUCGAUUCGAGGAGUUCGAUGAGCCCUGGAACGGAAGCCGAAGACCGGACGUGGGAGACCGUAGCUGCCAAGAGAAAGAGAAGUGAAAGUGAGAGGAUUUUCAUGUUUUUUUUUUUGUGGUAUGGUUUAUUGUUUAGUUUGUGAUGUUUAUUUGUGGGACACAAAGGGUGGUAUUUAUAAUGAUGUAGGGUUAGGUAUGGUUACUUAUGACGACAGAUGGGAGAUGAGGCGAUAAGUGUAUGUGUAUUUGGAUUGGUGCAACAAAUGCUACUGGUCCCAUAAUGUUUAUAAUUGACAAUAUUUUUCACUUACACCACUCGUUUUUAGAGCACGUUGAGACUGUGUGCUAAACUAGAAUUUGGCGUUUUGUUGUUUUAUUUUUAAUAUUAUCUUUGGCUUUUGUGCUUGUAAAUUUUGAAUUAGAGUCUCGUUUUAGAGAUCUUACUGUGAAGUUUUUCUACAUUACUAGAAAAAUGUGUGUGAAUAUGUCGAUGUGAGUAAACUUUUUUUUUGGAUAAUUGAUAGAGUAAACUUUUUUUUUUUUGAUAAAUAAUUGAUAGAGUAAUUGGCAAAACCAAUAAUGCAAAACGUGAUAUUCAAUAAACGAGUAAUUGGCAGCAGCCUCCCAGUGAGCAACAAGAGAUAGAUGUGUACUGUGUAGGUUGAAUCAUACGAGAUGAAAUAUGUCGAUAAGAUAAGAAAUGUGAGGUAUACACGUAUAGACGUUUUUUUUUUUUUCUUUUGUCAACAUCUUUUAAUUAAAAUUUAAAAGAAUCAUUCAUGAAGAAUGUUGUUUACAUAAGUAAUAUGAUGCGGUUUGGUAUGAAUUUUUCGUGCCAAAUUAUCCGCUUUUACAUUUGCACUACGAGGGAUUAAAAAUAAAGAGAAGCUUGAAAAUUCUUUCUUGUCGCUCUUGAAAUCUUCCAAAUACACUGCGAAUGCCGGCCAUUCGAUUGGGAAGGACACCAUCUUCACCAGGUCUGAACAGUCUGUAUAAAAAGCUACAUCUUGGGUGUAGUAUCCAAUCAUACACUUCAUUGCCCAGAAAAGAGCUUCCACUUUGGUAUGUAGAGGUGAGAGACUUCUUCGGAUAUUGGCUGCUCCCAUGGUUGGCGUCUCUCCGUUUGGUGAUGUGCAGAACCACCCUGUUCCUGAAUAUUUAUCAGUUUCUUUUCAUGAUCCAUGACAAGUAUAGACGUUAAAUAUUACACCUUUCGUUUUUAUUUAUUUCAUAUUUGGAGAGAAAAAAAAAUCUAUAUAUAAUAGCAAUCUCAAUAAAUGUCUUUUGCAGUUUUGAACGGUUGUGUAUUUUUAUCGCAACUUUCGGCUAAAAUAUUGACGGUUAUUUUUUUUCGAUUGUAUUUUUUUAUCGCAACUCUCGUUAAAAUAUUGACAGUUACUUUUUUUUGUUGACGGUUAUUUUUUCGGUUGUGUCUUCUUAUCGCAAUUUUCCGUUAAAAUAUUGUCGGUAACUUUUUUCAUUUGUGUCUUUUUAUCGCAACUUUCCGUUAAAAUAUUGACGGAUAUUUUUUCUAAGUUGUGUCUUUUUUUAUCGCAUCUUUUCGUUAAAAAAUUGACGGUUAUUUUUCUGGGACAGUUCUAUUUGUUCAAUUAUAAUCAUAUUUUUUUUCAGUUUACGGUUGUGUCUUUAUAGUUGCAUCUAUUCAUUUAAAGUUACGUCUCUUCAAUAUAUUUCAUUGCAUUUUUUCGUCACAACUUUUUGUAUGAAUAGUUGUCUAUUUAAAUGUUCGUGACUUUUGAACUCUAUAUAUUUGUCUUUCUUCUUAAGUAGUUCCCGAAUUUUUGUUCUUUAAAAUAUAUUAUUUGUUUCAUGAUAAAAAAAAAUCUAUAAAAUAGCUUCAAAUUCUUUAUUCUCUAAGCUAUUUUUAAACAUAUAUCAUUUUAAUAUUAAUAAAUUCUUCUCAAGAAGAAUGAUUAUUAAAAUGGAGAAGUUUUAAUCAACUUUAAAUGUAAAAUUCAAAUGAAGAUACCAACAAUAUUUUUCUUAGAAUUGGACGGAUUAUACAGUAAUUUUUUAUUUAACUAUUUUAUAUGGUAACAAUGAUGCUUUCUGAUAUAUCACGGAUUUUACCGAUUUUUAACCGUGAUUUACGUGUCAGUUUUAGAGUUUUUUUGUUGUUUCUAGUGUCUUUUCAAGUCUUUUCAGGUUUUUGCAAGUUCGGGACAAAAUUGGAGGAAAUGAAUCAUUUUGGAGCUAAACAGAAUAUUUGGAGCUGAAGAGACGAAUUCGGAUUCGAACCAAGGCAUUGGUGUCGACCGACACCAUACGCGGUCCAGCAAGAAAUCUCGACGGUUUAGAGUAAUAAAGCCCGCAGAAUUUACCCAUAAGACUUCCCUAUUUGCAAUUUUAGUCCCUGCACGUUUUUGAGACUUUAUAAAUAAUUUUUAAGGUUUUCUAUUUGAUUAUCUUGUCUUUGGCUUUUGUAAUUCUCUGAGCUUGAACCCUUUGGAAGAUAAUUGGAGAGAGCAACUUUUCAGAGAUUUUAUACCUUGUUAGAGAGAAGAUUUAUUCUAAACUCUUUUCUUCUUUUAAUUUCUUAACUAGAUCCUGACCCGCACGUACGUGCGGGGUUUCAUAUUUCAAAAACAUUUCUUACAAAUUUUCAUAUAAUAUAGAUUAUUUUAUUGUUUUUAUGAUGUAUAUUUUAGUGUAUUAGAUCUAGAUCCACAUGUACGUGUAGAGAUAUUUUUUUUAGAAAUUUUUAUAUAGAUUUUAAAAAUAUAAAAUAUUUUGAUGUGUUAGUGAACUUUGUAAUAAUAUAGAUAUUAUAAAGUUAGAAUAAUGAACGAAAUUUAGUUGCGUUAGUGCAUAGUUAUAUUUUAAGAUUCGGACCUACACGUACGUGUGAAAUUGUAUUUAAUAUAAAAUUAAGAUAUUAUUUAGUUGCAAAAGUUAAGUGAUGUUACGUUUUUAUUUUCUAAACUAUUCAAAAUAUUUCUAACAGUUUGAUUACAUGUGUUAAAUAGGAUACAUAUUCGGUUUAGUUUGGAUUAUUUCAUGUAUAUUAGCUAGGCGUAACUAUUUUGGAACAGGAAACCUAUCCCGUCUUGUAUAUUUCAUAAAUUUUUCGUCUCAUAACCCGUCUCGUAUACGUGAAAUAAAAAUAUUAUGGUCUCGUAUCUGUCAUAAAUUGUAACUAAAAACGUACGUAUAAGGUUAUGUGUGUAAACAAAUUUAUUUUAUAUAGUGCUCAUAACACAAACUCAUACCAGUUGAGCAUUAAGUUUGAUUUUUAAUUUAUGUUCUCCUGCCAUCCCGUCUCGUAAUUCUUAUUCUCAUUUCAUUCCAUUAAAACCAUGUUCCAAAUUCUUGUUUGCUUACUUUAAAAUACCAUAAAAUACAUACUGUGAGUUUUGCGGAUUAGUAUGUAUGAUGUUAAAGUUACAAAUAUUUUAACAAAUUUAUUAAUGUUUCUUUCCUAGCUAAAUUUUGCAUAUUCUUCUUUUAAUUGUUUAAUCAUAAUUAGUUCAAUAUUUGGACUAAAAAUAAAAGUUUUAGAUACAUCUAUAAAAGGGAUAUGCUAUUGCUGCAUAAUUUGUGUUGAAUGCAAAAUAUAUAAUUAGUUUACAUAAUUUCAAAAACCGUGUGCAAUAUAUUAUGGAUUUAUUUAAGGAAGAUCUGAGUUGAAAAGAAAAAAAUAAAACACAAAAUAUUUUAAAAUUAAUAUGUACAUUCUAUUGUUUAGAUUUUUUCAAAAAUUGCUCUAAACGAAAACCAUUAUGAUAAUUACUUAAAAUUUAUUAUUAUUUGAGUUUAUUUCAUAGUAAAAAUAAAUAUUUGUUAAUAUUUAAUAUGGUUUUUUAGAAAUUAUGAAAUAAAAUUUCGUUUUAUAUUUCAAAAUUUGUAAUAAAAAUAUUAUAACAAAACUGAAUAUUAAAAUAUUUUCAUUUAAUUUUUUUACCAAAUUUUAAAUUCAGUCUUAAAAUCUUCCUUAAAUAAUAUUUGCAUCUAGUUAUUAUUUAAGGAAGAUCUGAGUUGAAAAGAAAAAAAUAAAACACAAAAUAUUUCAAAAUUAAUAUGUACAUUAUAUUGUUUAGAUUUUUUCGAAAAUUGCUCUAAACGAAAACCAUUAUGAUAAUUACUUAAAAUUUAUUAUUAUUUGAGUUUAUUUCAUAGUAAAAAUAAAUAUUUGUUAAUAUUUAAUAUGGUUUUUUAGAAAUUAUGAAAUAAAAUUUCGUUUUAUAUUUCAAAAUUUGUAAUAAAAAUAUUAUAACAAAACUGAAUAUUAAAAUAUUUGCAUUUAAUUUUUUUACCAAAUUUCAAAUUCAAUCUUAAAAUCCUCCAUUGAUAAAUCUUUUUAAAUGAUAGUUUUUUUUAAUUUUGAAUUAAAAUGAUAUUAUUUUUAUUUGUAUUUUUGAUAUAGAAUAGUCUAUUAGGAUUGGUUUAGAAAAAAUCUUAGUUGGAUAUCAAAUCUUAGUUUUUCAAUUCCUAUUGGUUAACAAUUUUUAAAAAAAUUAAUUUCAAAUUUUCGUUUAUAAUUAAUAAGAGAGAGAAAAUUAGUUUAUUUUUUUGGAAAUUAAUAAGUAUUUAAAAGAAUUAAACUAUUUUUUAUUUAAAUAUAUUAAUUUUGUGAUUACUAUUGUACCCUUAAUGAAGUUAUUUAAAAACACUAAAAACCAAUGACAUUUUUUGUAAUUCUUUACCUUUUAUAAGGUUAUUUAUUAUCCAAUGCUUCCCAAUUAAUAAUAUAGAUUUGCAAUUUAUUCAACAUGUUUUCUGUUUCAUUAAUCAUGUCUGAGUAAUCACCCUAUUAGGUUUAGGGAUUCUCACUAAGGAUUUAGAUGAACUAGUAAAUCGAUUAACUGUUAGGAAUCCAUAGAGUUCUUCAUCUAGGUUGUUAUUAAUGCUUGUUCGAGAGUAGCUGAUCGUAGGAUAAUAGGUAUUUGAUCCGAGAGGGCACAUGUUACUGGAACUACUUUAGAUGAGCCUAGUUUAUAGGUGUGUAAUAAGAAUCGGCCUAUCUACUAAGGUGAACAUAUCAAACCUGAAUUUAAUGCUAGUCUAGACCUAGGAAUUCGCAUCGAGAGGUGGAAUUUCUGGUAUUAGGCUUGUUAGUUAUCGCAUCGAGAGGUGGUUAGCUAUUCAUUAGUGAUUUGAGUUCAAGAACGGUUCAUUAAAUAAUCCUAAUUAAUUUGCUAGAUUUAUUACUAGUUUAUUUCCUGAGAAUUUCUCUAAACCUGAAACUUUAAUCUAUUGAUCUUUUCACCUGAAAUCAUUGUUUGCUAUUGUUUUAUUUUAAUUUUAAUAAUUUUAUUUAGCCUAAUUUCGAGACUUAUAACUUAUUGUGUGAACAAAAGAACUUUGUGGAUCGACCCUUAAGUGCUGCAAUCGACCUCUUAAUAUGAGAGAGUAGGCUUUAAGAUUAAUUUGACCUGUAUCACUUUAUUCUAUCUUAAGGCAAUAUAUAUGGGUUGUAUAUAUACAACGAAAUAUUGAUGCUAAGUUAGCACUAUUACAAAGUCCGAAUAUGAGAAGACAUCCUCAUGUGACGCUUGUGAUUUGGCGCUUUAAAUGUGGUAAGCGUCAAAUAAACCAUUUUAAAUGGUAUAUAUAGUAAUCCAGAAAUCAUCUCCAUUACUAGGAAUAUUCGAGGAAUAAGUUUUUUUACUUAGUUAUUUAUGAGAUCUUGUAAAUAUUUAUUUGUUUGUUAUAGAUAUAAUUUACGUCAUCCAAUUUUAUAUUUUCUCGAAUAUUAUCAUAAAAUAAAUAUUAAUUUCUUAUUUAAAAAAAGUAAGCAAACAAAAAAAUACUAAUUCUCGGACGAAGUUCUUAGUCACCCACAAGUCGUGCUAUGUACCGACUCCAUCCAAAUUUUUGGAUUUCACCCUCUAGAAUUUUUCAUUUCUAUAUUAUAACUCUUCGUUAUGUAUUUUGUCACUUAUAAAUAAUUUUACAUUCAUAUAAAUUAUUUCAUAAGUGUUUUUAUAAUUAUUUUUUUUAUAUUUUUAUUCAUAAAUUGUUUUAACAUCUUUGGAAAAUAUUUACGAUAUAACUUUAAAACAUAGCUAAUUUUAUGUAAUAAUUUAAAUUUUGAAUAUGUUAUCAUAAUAAUUUAAUACAUAAAUACAAUCAAAUAUAUUUUUUGAAAAUGAGUUCUCCCACGACAUCGCGGUAAUUCAUACCUAGUUAUUUUAAUAAAAUAGAUAAUAUUUUCAAUUUCUAUAAUACAAAAUUAGUUAUUUUUUUCUGGGUUAUGAUGAUUUAUAUUUUGUAAAUUUUAUUAUAGAUCGAAUCGUGUUUAGAUAGAUAAUAAAUAACUUUUAGGUUAAAAAUAAACAAAAUUUAAAUGUUUUUUUUAACGGUGUACAAAAACUUUAAACAUCAAAUAUAAAAAAUUGGAGAAAUCAGUAACUUAAAUCGUAAUAAAAAAUAAGUCAAUAAUUAGCAAACAUACCUAUAUAGUUGUAUCACUAUUCACUAGUUCUCGAUAAAGAUUUGAAUAAUAAUUUUCGUGCCCGUGAUUAGGAACACUCUUUGUCAGCAAGAUUUCCCACAAAAAGUUGUAUCUUGGUGAUAGCUAUAGUUUCAACGAUGAUUGUGCUUUCCAACAAUAUAUAUAUAUAUAUAUUUAAUGCAUACCACCUCGUGACGAUAUAUUUUAAAUUAGUUUAAUAGAAAUUAUAUUUUAUAUAUUAACGAACAGUUUUGCAAAUUAAAGUUCUGAUUGGUAAAGUUUUUUAAGAGUUAGUUGGAACGGUAAACUGUUAAGGAAUAAUGCAAAAAUGUUAAAAAAAAUAUUACAAAAAAACUGUACAGAAAAUAAAGGUUUUUUUGAGGUUUUGAUAUUAUUCUUGUGAUUAGUACCACUUGUAGUACUCUCUUUUUGUUCACCAAUCAAAGCCUAACUUGUAGUGGAAUAGUAGUUUCCGCAUGAAAUAUAGUAUCUUUAUUUCGAUUUAGGUCAUAGAACGUAAAUAAAUGGUGAGAUAUAUUCAUGGAAAAAGAUAAUUUAUACUGUAUGCAUGAUUAACGAGAUUGGUAUAAUAUUGUGUUAACACAUGUAACACGCAGUCCUACAGUAAGAAAACUUUAAUCGAUGUGGUAAUUAAACAUAAGAAUUGAGAUUUUGUUCAUAUACUUAUAUAUAGUUGAAUUUUUCUUUCUUUAAUAAAUAAAAAUUGGAAGAACCAUUAACCAUCUGACAUUGGAUAUAGAAAUGACUCUUUCUGAUGCAAAAUAACUAAACCAGAGGAACCAAACAUUCAUAACAAAGCACAUAGGAUAUUAAAUUGGCCAGAACGGCGAGUUGCAAUAUGAAAGAAGAGAUGAUAUCUUGUCAUAAAGUCAAACAUGGAUUAUGAAAGACUUAGCCAUACAACAUGAAGGUUAUUCUGAAAUACCGGGAAGGAUAUUGAUGAAUGAUGAACUUUUAUAAUAAGUGGAUUGCGUAUUUUUUGAAAAAGUAUUUUGACCAUUUUCAAGCACUGGGUUACACGAUAAUGGUACCAUUAUUCAUAAACCGCAAAAUCAAAAAUGUAAAUAACCCUAACAAAAUUCCAAAUAGAACAUCCCUGAUUUUUAUAGCAACUAUACACUUAAUACGAGGACCUUUUAUUUAUUGAGUUGUGAUAAGAUGGACACUUUAUUUGAGCAGUGGCACAUAUGAGGUGAUGCAUGUAUGGGAACAAAUUAAAGACGUGAAAGUGUACGACAAGAUGCUUAAUUAGAUCUUGCAGUAGAGUGGAUUAGGGAGCUUUAAAGUCCUUCUACCAGGACUUUCCUUUAUCAAAUCAGCCCAUUGGUCUCCAAUAUUCCCAAUGAUAGUGUGGCCACUCCUCUCUAGCUUCUUCCUCUCUUCUGACUUGAAGCUCGAUACCUUCUUGUUUGAGCCUGUUGGCCUGUGUUUACACAUAUACAUAUAUCUUUCGAUUCAGUCACACAUAUGAUUAAGCUACUUUAACUAAUAUUUUUAAUUAUUAUAUAUGAUUAAACCUACUUUGAUUAUUCUUAUUUGAAAAUGACAUGCCUCCAAUAGGUGAAUCCAGCAGCUUUGAGAUUCUUUAGAGUGAUUUCCUCCAAAUCUUGGAAUCGUUCAGUAAGUAAGACAGGGCGAAUCCCGAUUUCAGGGAUGUUUUGGUAAAGAUGCAAGGUCUCUGGGAGCCCGGGAGCUUCUCCGACCACCAACCACUUCUUGAAUGUCUCCGGGUUGUGCUUCUCUGUUCUAAAAAACCAAACAAACAAAAUAUAGUUUCAAUACAAUAAAUCGAAAUUAUGUUGACAUCUAAAUAUUUUAAAAUAUACGGAAAUGAUAUUUACAAGAAAUCAUAUUAGAAUUUCAUUAAAAAUUAGACACUGUGUGAAUACAAACUAUGGUGGUUAGGCAUAAUUAAUAAUACAAUAUGUAUACCUGUAUCCAUAUUUGGCGUAAAAGGGAACAUUAGAGAGGAGGGUCUCGUCUAGGUCAAAGAUCCAAACAUUGUAGGUGUCGUUCUUUAAGGCAAGUCCUUUGACGUAGUAGUAAGCUUCUUUUCUUUGCACACCGUUUUGGAGUCGUAACGAUACUGUUGUGAAGUGGUCAAGUAGUCUUCAACAUAGUCUUUGCAGUUUGAAGGCACCGUCUUGAAGUUUAUGAUGUAGACGUCUCAACACCAAGGUGCCAGCUUCUGCAGUCGGGGUAGCUGAUGGUAAGUCCUUCUUUCUCUAAGAGUUCGGCUUCGUCCCCAAAGAUGGUGUUCGAUUCGAGAAGUUCGAUGAGCCCCGGAACGGAUGCCGAAGACCGGACGUGGGAGACCGUAGCGGCCAAGAGCAAGAGAAGUGAGAGUGAGAGGAUUUUCAUUUUUUUUUUUUGGUAUGGUUUAUUGUUUAGUUAAUUUGUGAUGUUUAUUUGUGUGACACAAAUAGGCAUGUCAAUCGGGCUAGCUCGGCCCGGCCCGGCCCGGCCCGGCCCGAAGCCCGCAAAACCCGUACAUAUUUGAGCCCGACCCGGCCCUAGCAGGGCUACAUGGCUUUUCCGGAUUUUUCUUCCGAUAACAGAAAACAAACUUAUAGUUUCUAAUAUCUCUUAAAAAAUAAUCUAUAUAUGAAACGAGUCAAUCAAAAUUUAAAUAACCACUAACGCUAAUUUAGUUUUUUAAAAAGAAAGUUAAAAUCAAAUAAAUAAUCUAAAUAAAUUGUUUAAACUUAUACUAGAUAAAAUAUAAAAUCAAAAUAAUUCAAAUUAGGUAGUAGAGCUAAUAUUUACUUUUUCGAUUUAUAGUAAUACACAACAAACAAACUAAGUUUAUGGUUUUCAACUCUAUUAAAAAAAAUUUUAACAACAAAUCUUACAAUUAAACGAAAAUAUUAACAAAAAAAAAGGGUCAAAAUAUUUUUUAGAGGGCUUUUCGGGCUAGCCCGAGCCCGGCCGGGCUAAGCCUAGAAAACCCUUUAGCCCGAACGGGCUUAGCCCGAACGGGCUUAGCCCAAAAGGCUCGGUUUUUUCUAGACAUAUAAUUUGAAGUCCGAGCCCCCUGUUUUUCAUGGCUGGGUCGGGCUAGCCCGCGGGCUUUGGCCCUAGUUGACAUGUCUAGACACAAAGGGUGGUAUCUUUCUUAUUAUAUAAAGUAUGGUUUUCAAAGUUAAUAACUCAUAGGAUCUUGACACGUAGCAAAUCUAUCGAUCUUAGAUUUUGACAUGUGUAAAACAAAAAUUUCGACACGUGUGAAACAAAAAUUUUCUUUUAUUUAUUUUUAAAAUAAUAUAAGAAAACUAUACACACAUGUCAAAUUUAUCAACGUGUAAAACCAAAAAUAAUUUAUAAGGAAGUUAUACAUAUAUAUCUUAUAUAAAAAUAUUCUAAAAAUUUUAAAAAGAUAAAUAUAAGGAUACUAGAUGUAUAUGAAAUAAAAAUAGAAAUUUAAGAAAAAAAGAAUUAAGGCAACUAUACAUAUAUCUUAUAAAAAAAAUUUAAAAGUAAAGAAGAUAAUUAUAAGGAAAAUAUAUGUAUCUUAUUAACUAAAAUUAAAAAUUAAAAAAUUAUUUACUAAUUAUAAUUUAAAGCUACUAAUUCUAAAAGAAAAAGAUUAUUAAAAAAGAUUUGUGAAAUUAUACAAUCACAUUGUAUAAUAUGGUAAUUAAAAUUUUUUCUAAUUAAUUAUUAAUCGUAGAAGAAAAAGGGUUCUAAAUACUCACAUAUAUUAAUAUAUAAUUCAUCUAUAUCUAUAUAUAAAUAAAAGAAAAAGAAUUCUAUAGAUAAACAAAUAGAUAGAUAGACAAGUUAAUGGCGAUAAAGGUAAAUUAAGAAUUAUGAACGGCGAUGGAUAUAAAAUAAAAUUGUUGUCGGAAAAGCUCGACCCGAUGUCGGAGGAGAUAAAAAAGGUGGAUAAAUAAGAGCAGUUGGGAAAAGAGGGGAAGAUGCGGUAACAAUGGUGUUGGUGUUGAUGACGGUGUUUCAAGCUUGGUGAUGGUGGCGGUAAAUAUUGAUGAAGGUGGUGGGUUGGAAUUAACGAGAUUUAGUAUUGAUUGUGAUAGUUGUGAAAUUUAGUUGUGGUGGUGGCCUGGUGGAUCGGAGUAGUGAAACUCGGUGGUGAUAUCCGACGAUGAAGAUAAACAGUGAUAUGGAAAAAGAAAAAAAAUAUGGUCUCGAAGAAAUCCAACGAGAUAGAGAGAAAGAAAAAGAAAGAGGAGAUCAAGCAAAAAUAAAAGAAAUUUAAUGAGAUAAAAAAGAAAGAUUUGAGACUUCUUGCCGGCAAGAGGAAAGAAAAAAGAGACAACAAAAAACUCAUGAGUAAUAUGAACCAAAAAUUGACAAUAACCAUAUAGCAAAUAGACAUUGUUUAGUUUAUAUUAUUUUCUUAAUUCUUUUUUAGUCUUAAAUUAUUUAGUCCAUAUUUUCUAAUUUCUUCUGAAUUUGUCUUUUUGUUUUGAGCUUUUCUCAUAUUAUCAAGUAAAAUUACAUGAUGUGGAUAUAGACUGUCUCAAUGUCACAAUUUUGUUUCCAUAUUGUCCACAUUGAAAUUAUAAAGUGUUAUACACUCUUCCGAUGGAUGUAGAUAAUUUAUUAAAUUUCAAUAAUACACAUAGGAGAAUUUAUUAAAUAUCAUAAUGUAACAUAUAAUAAACAAAACUACAAAUAGUAUUUUAUAUUGCACAUUAUUCAUAAUUAAUCUAUAUUUAAAAAAUAAUUAAAAUACUACCUUUUCUAAAAUUAAAACAUAUUUUUAUAUAAUUUUAGUUAAGCUUACAAAAAUAAAAAAUAAAAAAUGACAAUUUCGAAUGGUAACCCGUGCAACGCACGGGUCCAUCUAGUCGUAUUAUAUAAAGUAUAGUUUUCAAAGUUAAUAACUUACGAGAUCGUGACACGUGUCAAAUUUUUUUAUCUGAGAUUUUGACAUGUGUCAAAUAAAUUUUUCCUUUUAAAAAGAAAGAAAAAGUUAAAAGAUAAUUAUAAAAAAUUAUAAAUUUAAACAGUUUUAAAAUGUAAAAAGCUCAUUAUAAGAAAAUUAUACAUAUAUUUCCAUAUAAGAGUUUUUACCAUCUAACAAACAAAAUUUUUGUUUUUAGAAAGCUAAUUUUAAAGAAAUUGAACAUAUAUUUCCAUAAGAGUUUUUCCAAGAAAAAAAUUUAAAAAUAGAAAAAAAUCUUAAGAAAAUUAUACAAUCAAUUAUUAAUCCUAUAAGAAAAAGGAUUGUAAAUAGUUACCUUUGAAUAAAUAAAUAGAUUGUCUCAUAUUUUCUCAUCAAGCAAACUAAUUUCUUAACAAUGUUAUAUCAUAUCAAUUAUAAAAAAAAAAAAAUCGAAUCACGAUGAUUUUCUAAAAAUAGCAUGUAAUAUUUAGAACUAAUGAAUAUAUGGCAAUUGAGCCAAACUAAUAAUGAUGAAAGGCGAUAGACAUAGACUAGAGUUAUUGUUGGAGAGGCUUGGUCCAAUGUCGGAAGAGAUAAAGAAGAUGGAGUAAUAAAAAAAGUUGGGAAAAGAGGAUAAGAGACGGUAAGUGGUGUUGGUGUUGAUGAUGGUGGUUUAAGCUUGGUGGUGGUAGCGGCGGUAAAUAUUGAUGAAGGUAGUGAGUCGGAAUUAGCGAGAUUCGGUAUUGUUGGUGGUGGUGACUGUGAUAGUAGUGAGAUUUAGCUGUGGUGGUGGGUCAUAGUAGUGAGACUCGGUGGUGAUGUCCGACAAAUGCGAGAAAUGUAGAUAGGAAAAAGAAAAAAAUAAAGAUAUGGUGGUGAAAAAAUCAGACGAGAGAGAGAAAGAGAAAGAAAGAGGAAUUCGAACAAAAAUAGGAGAAAUCUAAUGAGAGAAACAUAGAGAUUUGAAAAUUAGAAAGAAGAGAAAACGAAGAAAUUAAUAAUAUGAGCCAAAAAAUUGACAAAAGCCAUCUAGCAAAUAGAUAAUAUUUAGUAUGAUGUUAUUUUUUUAAAAAAUUUUUAGUAUUAAGUUGUUUAGUGUAUAUUUUUUAAUUCUUUAUAAGGUUUUCUCUUUCUGUUGAGGAUAUUUCAUAUUAUCAAGUAAAGUUAAAUCACAUGGAUAUAGACGGUCUCAUAUUUUAUCCUUUUUUAUUGUCACAAUUUUAUUAUGACGUCAAACUUUUCUAAACAAAAUCAUAUAUUUACGUAUCUCAUACUAUAUGUUUACGUAUUAUAUAUAUCGUUCAUAUAUUUACGUAACUAUAUAGUUUUAUUUUUUCUUAUUGUCAUUGUUUUGUUUUUAUCUUGCCCACAUUGAAAUUGUAAGAUGUAACACACUCUUCUGAUGGAUGUAAAUAACUUAUUAAAAUUCAAUAAUACAACAUAUGAAUAUUUAUGACUUCAUAACUUAUAAUAAGUAAAGAAUUAUAUAAUUUUAUAAAUAGACUAACAUUUAUAUUAGAUGACUUAAUAAUUAGUAUAACAUAACUACAAAUAAUGUUUCAUAUUGCGUAUUAUGCUAAUAAAUUUAUAUUUAGAAAUAAUUAUGCUGCAUUUUUUAAAAUAUAUAUGUUUAUAGAAUUUUAGUUAAGCUAACAAAAAUAAAAUAAAAAUGUUAAGAAUGAUAAUCUCGACCUGCAAUUCGUGCAACGCACGGUCUAUAUCUAGUUUAUAAUGAAGUAGGGUUAGGUAUGGCUACUUUUAUGACGACAGGUGGGAGAUGAGGAGAUAAGUGUACGUGUAUGUUUUGGAUUGGUGCAACAAAUGCUACUGGUCCCAUAAUGUUUAUAAUUGACAAUAUUUUUCACUUACACCACUCGUUUUUAGAGCACGUUGAGGCUGUGUGCUAAAACUAGAAUUUGGCGUUUUGUUGUUUAUUUUAAUUCUUAUCUUUGGCUUUUGUGCUUGUAAAUUUUGAAUUAUAGUUUCGUUAGAGAAUACUAUGAAGUUGUUCUACAUUACUAGAAAAAUAUAUCUGAAUAUGUUGAAUUGUUGAUGUGAGUAUAACUCAUGUUUGCGGAAAUAAUUUAAACUUUUUUUUUUGAUAAUUGGCAAAGCCAAUAGUGCAAAACGUGAUAUUUGAUAAACGAGUAAUUGGCAGCAGCUUCCGCAGUGGGCAACAAGAGAUAGGUACGUGUAUUGUGUAGGUUGAAUCAUACGAGAUGAAAUAUGUCGGUAAGAUAAGAAAUGUGAGGUAUGCAAGUAUAGACGUUAAAUAAUACGUCUGAAUGUUUUACAUUGUUACAUAUCACAUAGCUUUUUCCUCUUGAUGAAAGCCUUCCUCAAAUUCGAGAAAUCCAUCAUGAAUGUUUGAUCUAGAUCCAUUUUUGUUCCAAGUUAUUAAACAAGCUUUUUAAUGAAAGCCUUUGAUUUAGACUCUACCUAAAUGUUUGAUUUCAGAACAAUUCAAACCAUUUUUAUAUGUUUUUUUUUUUUUUUUUUUUUUUUUUUUUUUUAGAAAACGAACCAUUUUUAUAUGUUUACCGAUGAAAACAUAGCUACCUACCAAAAUAUCCAAAUAUUUAGUACAAAACCUUCUUGAAUAUAUUUCAAAACAAGUUUUGUGGUGAAAACCGUUCAAAAUAUUUUUGAUAUCCAAGAUUCUAAUAAGAAAACAAUAAAUACCAUAUGAAAACAAGUAAUCAAACUCAAAAUACUUCAACCUCAUUUAGCAUGUAUAGAUGUCAAGUGAAACCUUCAAUCUUGUAUCUUAUAACUACGUGUUCUACUUCCUCCACAUAUGUUGAUUUGGUUCUUUCCCACGAUCAUAUAACUUUUUGGCAAUGGAACCAUCAGAUUAAAAUAAUCCCCAUGUUUUACCAUGCCAAAAUGUUUUUUUUUUUUUUUAUAAAUCCUAUCAGCGGAUCCGGUUAGCCCCGAUAGAAAUGCACCGAAGUGCUUUAGAGUGGACUUCUUCCCGAAGGACCACCACACUGUCUGUCCCGAGUUUAGAAUGUUUUCCGACUAAUGGCAGGGGUAGCCAGAUCGCCUGUUACUGGACUACCAGAUAAACUGCCUGAGCCUUUGGCCCAAGCGACUUCCCACACAGAUUUGCUUUUUGUUUUCAGAGUGGAUCGAACUUGGGUUAGUUCCUUCAAACAUUUCUCCAAUUCCCAACUACCACUGGACCACAGCUGUGUAGGCUACCCUCCAAAAAUGUAUGAGACAAGAUUAAGGGAGACCUUCCAUAAUUAUAUGGAGUUCUUUUUUUUUUUCUUUUUGAAUUUUAAAAUCGCCAAAAAUUAUCAAAAACAAGCCAUAUAUGUUCAUAUAAAUUCAACGAGCAAUAGCAAAAUCUUAUUCUGAACACAUUUACAAGACAAAACAAAUCUUAACCAAGUCACCAAACCAAGUUUAAUAUAUAAACUAUAACAUAAGCAAACAAACAAGUCUAAUAAUCGUGAUAUGUAUAAACUAAUCUCCUCUAUAAACAAAUGGGAAUACGUUUAAUAUAGUAUCACAAACAAAAGUAGUAAACAUAUUGUUCAUGAAAUCAGAAUCUAAACGUCAUUGGAGUACAAACCAUUGCAUUUUCAUGAAAUCAAAACCUAUAAAAAUAACAUUCAAUUAUGCUAAGCAAUCAAUCUACUUUAAGAUCGACACAAAAUGAAAGAUGAGAAAAAAUGGGUACUAACUUGAAUUAAUAAGCGCUUUGUUACAGAUCACGUUGGAGAUAAACUUGAAUUUUUACCACAAAUUGAAACAGUUUGAGAAAAAUGAAAGCCCGAAAAACUCUUUCUUCUGUUGUUUUAGAAUCCUAAAUCGAAACCAAAAUCAAAAUAAGAGUUUCACAUCCCGAUCGGGAAUUGAUUUGUUUUAGUAUCGAAACCAAAACUAAAAAAGAGCUUCCAUCAAUGAAGCGGUUAGAAAAUCUUAUUAUGAAAUCGAGCUUGUAAGUGCACUCUAUACCAGGAGCUCAGAUAAGUGCACAAGUUGCCGGAACAGGAUUGAAGCUGUUCUUGGAUACAGGAGUAAUGACUAAGUAAUUGUCGCUGACGUGGAAUAGGCGCCAAAUGAAUGAAUGACGUGGUGAUCACAACAGGAUAAGUUCAGUUUGGCAAGAAGAUAUUCGAUGGAGAUUUGGAGAGAUCCAAGAUCGAGAAGACUAAACCUAGAAGAUCUGAAGACCUCGUGAAUAUAAAAGGGGUGCUAAGGCUCUUGCUAGGGUUAGCCGUUUCUGAAGCAAAAAAAGUAUCGCAAGCUUUUUUGUUCUGUUAGAGAGUAAGCUUUACUCUGUUUGAGUUGCAAGAGAGAUUAGAGAGUGUGUUCUUGUAAUUCUCUUGUGAGUCUUAGAAAUCUCAGGUGACAAGCCAAAAGUAGUUUUAGGUCUUGUGUAAAACCAGUUAAGAGAGUUGUAUCUUCUUAACCAGAUUUCUAAUAAAGUAAUACUCAGUGUUUCUGAGUUUGGGAAAUACGGUUCUGAGUUCAUCCAAAUUUCACUUGGUAUCAGAGCAGGCAUCUGAACUAAGUUGAGAUCAUACAUUGUUAAGAAGAUACAACUCUCUUAACUGGUUGAUAGUGAAUCUGAAGAUGACGAUUCAGAUGAUGAUGUGAAAGGUUUCGUUUCCUUUAUAGGAAUCAUAGAAGAAAACUCUGACAGUGAUGUAGAAGACAGAGAUAGUAUUGUCCAAGCUGAUGAUGAAUCAGAAAUGGAGAAGGAUCUUGAUAUUGAUGGACAGUUCAGGAAAAUGUAUGACAACUGGUGUCUUCUGAGUAAAGAGAAGAUUGCUUGGAUGGAAGAGAAGCUAGCAAUUUUGGAACUAAAUGAAAAACUGAAAGCUGACUUGGCUCUGGAGAAUCAGAAGAAUAGUGAACUCGUUCAGAAACUCGGGUUGGAAGAGGAGAAUGUCAGAGUGCUUACUCAAGAACUCAGCGAUACCCGCAAGAAGAUACACAUGUUGAACAGUGGAACAAAGGACUUGGAUAGCAUCUUAGCUUCUGGAAGAACAGGAAAAUCCAACUUUGGAUUGGGGUAUCAAGGAGGAGAAACAAGUGGUAAGACGAAUUUUGUUCGAAGCAAAGCUGUACCUGGUGUUCGAAGUCAGACAUGAUUCAGAAACCAGACCAGAGCUGUUCCAGCAAGACAACAGUAUCAGAACUACAAUUAUCGUCAGACAGGGUUUCAAAACCAGACUGGAGCUGUUCCAGCAAGACGAUAGUACCAGAACUUCAAUCACAGUCACUAUCACAGGUCAGUGACAGGUUACGAAUGCUACUACUGUGGACGACAUGGUCACAUUCAGAGAUUCUGCUACAGAUAUGCAGCUAAGGUAAACCAGCUGAAACGACAAGGUAAGCUCUAUCCACAUCAACACAGAGCUUCAAAGAUGUAUGUUAAGAGGGACGAUCUGUACUGUCAUGUAGCAUACAUUUCAGCUGAAGCAGGUGGGUCAAGGCCGUGGUACUUUGACAGUGGAGCAUCUCGACACAUGACGGGAAGUCAUUCUAAUCUUAACAACUACACUACUGUUAAGGAGAGUAAAGUCACAUUCGGUGGUGGAGCUAAAGGAAGAAUUAGAGGAAAAGGAGACUUGACUGAAGCUGAGAAACCGCAACUCACAAAUGUUUACUUUGUGGAGGGACUUACUGCAAAUUUGAUAAGUGUAAGUCAGCUAUGUGAUGAAGGAUCAACAGUGAGCUUCAACAGAGUCAAGUGUUGGGCUACAGAUGAGAAGAAUCAGAAUGCUCUUUCAGGUGUUAGAACCGGUAACAACUGCUACAUGUGGGAAGAACCAAAAGUUUGUCUUAGAGCUGAAAAAGAUGACCCUGUCUUAUGGCAUCAACGCCUUGGCCACAUGAAUGUCAGAAGCAUGUCCAAGCUGGUCAAUAAGGAAAUGGUUAGAGGUGUACCGGAGUUAAAGCAUCUUGACAAGAUCGUGUGUAGUGCUUGCAACCAAGGAAAAGAGAUUAGAGUUCAACACAAGAAGGUGGAGGGAGUGCAGACCACUCAAGUUUUAGAUCUCAUUCACAUGGAUCUAAUGGGACCAAUGCAGACAGAAAGCAUUGCCGGAAAGAGAUAUGUUUUUGUCUUGGUUGAUGACUUCUCACGUUAUACUUGGGUAAGAUUUAUCAGGGAAAAAUCUGAGACUGCCAACAGCUUCAAGAUCUUAGCUCUUCAGCUGAAAAAUGAGAAGAAGAUGGGAAUAAAACAAAUCAGAAGUGAUCGCGGAGGUGAGUUUCUAAGUGAAGCCUUUAACAGCUUCUGUGAGUCUCAAGGAAUUUUCCACCAAUACUCAGCACCUAGAACUCCACAGUCUAAUGGUGUUGUUGAAAGGAAAAAUCGAACUCUUCAAGAAAUGGCCAGAGCCAUGAUUCAUGGGAAUGGAGUCCCUGAGAAGUUUUGGGCUGAUGCCAUUAGUACUGCAUGCUAUGUCAUAAACCGAGUGUAUGUCAGGAUAGGGUCUGAUAAAACUCCCUAUGAGAUCUGGAAGGGGAAGAAGCCAAAUCUAAGUUACUUCCGAGUAUUUGGAUGUGUCUGUUACAUCAUGAAUGAUAAGGAUCAGCUGGGAAAAUUUGAUUCUCGCAGUGAAGAAGGUUUCUUUCUUGGUUAUGCUACCAACAGUUUGGCAUAUCGAGUUUGGAACAAGAGGAGGGGAAAGAUAGAAGAGUCAAUGAACGUUGUCUUUGAUGAUGGAAGUAUGCCCACUUUGCAAAUAAUUGCAAGUAAUAGUGGUGAAGCUCACAACUUAACUCCAAGGAUCCAAGAAGUGGAAGGAAAUGAGAAUCAAAAUGUCAGUGAAGCAAAUGAAUCAGAAGAAGAAUCUGAUGAGGAAGUUCACUCAAUCCAAGUACACCGUAAUCAUUCUGCUGGGGAUGUAAUCGGAGAUCUGAAUGGUGAAAGAGUAACAAGAGGGAUAAAACAGAACUACAGACAAAUGGCUUCGUUUGCAGGCUUUGAAGAGAUCAUGUUUUCAUGUUUUGUUUCCAUGACAGAACCUAAGAAUGUCAAAGAAGCUUUGGAUGAUCAUUUCUGGAUUCUUGCAAUGGAGGAUGAAUUAGAAGAAUUCUCAAGAAAUCAAGUUUGGUAUUUGGUUCCAUGGCCUCCAAAAGUGAAUGUUAUUGGAACUAAGUGGAUCUUCAAAAACAAAAGUGAUGAAGAAGGAAAUAUCAUCAGAAACAAAGCUAGGCUCGUGGCACAAGGAUACACUCAAGUUGAGGGACUAGACUACGAUGAAACCUUUGCUCCGGUUGCAAGGCUCGAAUGCAUAAGGUUUCUUCUUGGCACAGCAUGUGGUAUGGGGUUUAAACUGCAGCAGAUGGAUGUCAAGAGCGCCUUUUUGAAUGGCAUCAUACAGGAGGAAGUGUAUGUAGAGCAGCCCAAAGGAUUUGAGAGUCUUGAGUUUCCGGAUCAUGUGUUUAAAUUGGAAAAAGCUCUGUACGGUUUGAAACAAGCACCUCGUGCAUGGUAUGAGAGACUUACUACUUUUCUGACAGUGGAAGGAUACAUACGUGGGAGUGUUGAUAAGACUCUGUUUGUCAAAAGGGAUAGUCAUGGGAUGAUCAUCAUACAAAUUUAUGUAGAUGAUAUCGUUUUUGGAGGAACAUCCGACAAACUUGUCAAAUCAUUUGUAAAGGCAAUGACAACUGAGUUCAGGAUGAGUAUGGUAGGAGAACUCAAGUAUUUUUUGGGGUUGCAAGUGAACCAGACGGAUGAAGGCAUUACCAUCUCACAGAGCACAUAUGCCCAAAAUCUUGUAAAACGGUUUGGAAUGUGUUCUAGCAAGUCCGCCAGAACUCCCAUGAGUACUACGUUGAAACUCUCCAAGGAUGAGGCUGGUGAAAAGGUGGAUGAAAAGGCAUACAGAGGUAUGAUUGGAAGUCUCCUCUAUCUCACUGCAAGUAGGCCGGACUUAUGUCUCAGCGUAGGACUGUGUGCAAGAUAUCAAGCCAAUCCCAAGGCUUCUCACUUAGCAGCUGUGAAGAGAAUUGUCAAAUAUGUGAAAGGAACAGUGAACUACGGGCUUAGUUACACCAGGGAUACUAGUCUGGCACUAGUUGGCUACUGUGACGCUGACUGGGCAGGGAAUCUUGAUGAUCGUCGGAGUACUACUGGUGGUUGUUUUUUUCUAGGAAACAAUCUCAUCUCAUGGCACAGUAAGAAGCAAAAUUCUGUAGCACUGUCUACAGCCGAGUCUGAAUAUAUUGCCCUUGGCAGCUGCUGCACUCAACUCCUCUGGAUGAAACAAAUGGGCCUGGAUUAUGGUAUUUCAUUUCCUGAACCUUUACUUGUUAAAUGUGAUAAUCAAAGUGCAAUUGACAUCUCUAAGAAUCCUGUGCAGCAUUCUAGAACUAAACACAUUGAGAUAAGGCAUCAUUUUGUUAGAGAAUUAGUUGAAGAGAAACAAGUUAUCAUAGAACAUGUACCCACUGGAAUCCAACUUGCUGAUAUUUUCACUAAGCCUUUAGACUUUGACACGUUUGUGAACUUGCAAAAGUCCCUGGGUGUUUGUGAACUCUGACUAUCUUCUCGUUGAGUGUUUGUGCUGAAACAGGGUUGGUUGUACAGUGAGAAGUGUGUUUUUCAAAAUAUUUCUGUGAUUCACAAGUGUUUUGUUUAAAAUUUUUUGCUGAAAAGUUCAUCAAGAGAAAGAGCUACCUAUCAUGUGUUGGAGCUGCAAAGUCAGUAAAUUGUGUGAUGGACAAUGUGUGUAGAGCAUUCAGGAAGGCGUGAAAUGCAGAAAGGAGCAGAAAAAGCAUUUCAUGUCAUAAGAUGAAGCAUGAGCUUAUCUAAGUCACGGGGGACAAAGGAGAAAUCUUGUCACUAACCCGAGGGAACAAAGGAGAAAUCUUGUUUACCUAACAAUAUGUGAGAGGAGCAAACAUCAAUCAAAAUAAAAGAGGUUCAAAAGCAGUCUUGUCAUAAAAAAAAAAAAAAGGAACUGUUGUCCUCUGGUUGCAAUCUUCUCUCACUGCAGAAAGGAGCAGUAAGAUGCACAUUCACAAGGUCUGAAACGCUUUCUCAGCCUUGUGGUUACAUAGAGCCUGAAUGCUGCUGCACAGUCUAUCACAUUCCUUGUCAAAGGACUCGCUAGCUCUCUGAUCCAUGACAGUGUGAAGACUACUCUUGAAGAAUCAACAUUCUCAUAUGUGUUGGAACAGCAGAUUAUGUGUUUUAAAAAAAAAAAAAAAAAAAAAAAAAAGGAGCUUCGCACUGUACAAUUAGCUUUGGGACUGCACAGAUGUCAACAUGUGGAAGAGACGGUUGCUGUUCUGAGUACACUGAUAGGGACUUGUUCUAUGUCAAUCACUGUCUUGCGUCAGAAAAUUGAGUUGGAUCUUCAGAGGUACCGUGUUUAAAAAUUUUUUUUAAAAAAAUUAAGAACUCUGUGUGUUUCUUUUAGUGCUUUCUCUGAUUGAUUCUUGAUUAAACCGGUUUUAUACCCGGUUAGCACUAAUUUUUGGUUUUGAGUUUUUUGUUUGUCUAACAGGAGAACACGCGGGAUAUCACAAGUUUUUGUGUUUCUUUCUCUUUGAGAGUCGUUCCCAAUUCCUCUCUCAAACCCUAGCCAUGGCGAGAACUCGCGCUGCUGCUAAGCGCUCUCAUCCCGAUCGAUUGGAGCUCAAUGAUUCCGACAGCUCAAUUGAGGAAGUUCCCCCGAAAGCAGCCCUUCGAUCCUCGAGUUCUGCUCCGCCACCAGAUGCUGCGGCUGACUCCGGCCCUGCUCCGUUAGACAAAUCGAUGCCAUCUUCUUCGAAAGCGGCUGGCCACAAAUCUGCACCGUCCUCCUCGCAUCCCCCAAUCAACGAUCCGGUGCCAGAUCUGCUGAAGAACUUCAUGAAGACCCGCGGGAACGUUCCGUACGACUCAUCAGACCGCUGCAGCAUGCACCGCUAUCAUCAGGCAAAGAGGGAUGCGGCUGACCCUUCGAUUUGGAAGCUGCCCUAUGCUCCGAUGAACUUUCGCUUCCUCACAUCUCAGGGAAUUGAAAGGUACAAAGAUUUCACACACCGUGAAUUUCAUGACCAGAGGUAUGUUCCGCGUGGUCCUGCUAGUACUACUGAGAUGAUGAAAUUGAUAGAGGAGAAUCACCUGUCUGACACUGUUAGUGAGAUUGAUCCGUAUGUCAAAGAAGUUGUGCUGGAAUUUUACUCAAAUUUCCACAUAUUCAAUGAGGUAACCAAGAAGUCGCCUGUGUUUGUUCAAGGGAAAAUGUACGAAUUCUCACCACAGAUGAUCAACAAAGCGUUUCGUACUCCUGCUAUCAAGUGGCAUGCCAAGGCUGAGUAUGAAAGAGCUGCAUUGUCGAAGCAUGCCUUGGCUAAGUAUCUGUCAGAAGGUAAAGUUGUUACCUGGAAGGACCUGCGUACUCCUGUGAUGCCUACACAUCUGGCUGGCCUGUACUUGAUUUGCUGCAUUAAUUGGCUUCCAUCAAAGAACAAUUCAAAUGUGACAAUUGAUCGGGCUAAGCUUUUGUAUCUUAUCAAUGAGAAAAUCCCUUUCAAUUAUGGGAAGCUGGUAUAUGAUCAAGUGGAAAGAGCUGCUCGCUUUCCAGGUCAGAUUCUAAACAUUCUGCCAUUCCCGAACUUGAUCUAUCGGGUACUUAUGUUUCAGAGGGAGAUUACCUUGGAGAACUUUGAAAAACCUGAUCCACCUCCAAAGAAGUUCAAUCCAGAAGUGAGAGGUGGUAUAGAUCACCCAAGACGUCGAGGAGAGUAUGUGUUUGGAACCUCAUUGGCAGGAGACCUGAGACACGCAUCCACUCUCCUGCUGAACAUGGCUGUUCGGUUGGAAGGUACGUUUUCAAGUUUCUUUACUGGAGUCUUGAGUGCAUAGGUGUAAUCCUGGUAGAAGUUUUGUUUUUGACUCAAUUGUGUCAUACAAGCAGGGGGAGAUUAUGGGUUAGUACAGCCUUCUUCUGAUCAGUCUCAGGGUGUGAAUGCUGAUGCCGAGGCUCAAGGUUCUGAACCUGAAGCUGAUGACUCUUAUGCUGAGCCCGUUGAUGAAGGCUGGCCUUCAGAGAACUCUAAUUCGGAUUCAUUUGUGGAUUCAUUGGAUGUUGACAAUGAAGAAGGGUUUGAAGACACUCAGUCAGGAUAAUAUAGACUAGUUUUGGAGACUGAGUGGUCUAGGAUUUAGGGGGAGUCUUAACUUUUGGCAUUACUUCGGAUUGUUUUUGUAUGUAUGCCAUGUUUUCUCUGUUUUUCAGUAUCUUGCGAACAAGGAUCCUGUGUCUGAAUAUUUUUCGGAGUUAAGACUUAAUUUUAAUAAUUCCGCUGUGCCUUGUUUUUCGUUGAUAUGAUGUGUGCUUGUGAAUCUUGAGAGAAUCAUUGCAGGAUGGCUUGAAUUGACAAAUUGAAUCAAAAAGGGGGAGAUUGUAAGUGCACUCUAUACCAGGAGCUCAGAUAAGUGCACAAGUUGCCGGAACAGGAUUGAAGCUGUUCUUGGAUACAGGAGUAAUGACUAAGUAAUUGUCGCUGACGUGGAAUAGGCGCCAAAUGAAUGAAUGACGUGGUGAUCACAACAGGAUAAGUUCAGUUUGGCAAGAAGAUAUUCGAUGGAGAUUUGGAGAGAUCCAAGAUCGAGAAGACUAAACCUAGAAGAUCUGAAGACCUCGUGAAUAUAAAAGGGGUGCUAAGGCUCUUGCUAGGGUUAGCCGUUUCUGAAGCAAAAAAAGUAUCGCAAGCUUUUUUGUUCUGUUAGAGAGUAAGCUUUACUCUGUUUGAGUUGCAAGAGAGAUUAGAGAGUGUGUUCUUGUAAUUCUCUUGUGAGUCUUAGAAAUCUCAGGUGACAAGCCAAAAGUAAUUUUAGGUCUUGUGUAAAACCAGUUAAGAGAGUUGUAUCUUCUUAACCAGAUUUCUAAUAAAGUAAUACUCAGUGUUUCUGAGUUUGGGAAAUACGGUUCUGAGUUCAUCCAAAUUUCAGAGCUUACCUUGAGUUUUAAAUCCAAAAUGGAUGACGGGAUUAGGUUGCAGUGAGAGAGGGUGAAAAAGAUUUAUAGGUUUUGUGUAGAAAAGAUGAUGAUUGCGAGAAUCGGGCGAGAAUGUGAAAUGGUAACGAAAACAGCGAGCACGAGAACCCGGCGAAGCGACGAGAAUCCGGCGAUUUUUAGGUCAUUAUUAUGGCAACGAGAAUCUGGCGGUUUGAGAUAUGUUUUGGCAAUUUCGUCAAUUGUGGCCCGUUUGGUCUUUGUGGCUCAAUAACGCAUCUUUGAAAAUUGCCGGUUAGAUAUAAACUUGUGUUAUAUGUUGAAUUUCAGAAUUUUGGUGCUAAAUUUGGAAAUAAAAUAUAAUAUUGUGCUAUUUUGUCAAUUAUCCAAAAAAAUAUAUUCAAUGGCAAUAAUUUAAAUAAUUGUUUUUGUUGUAUAUUUAUUUCUUUUUAAUUAAUAAUUUUGUUUUAUUAUUGAAGAGAAAAAGUGUAGGACCCACAUAUCUGAAAAAUGAAACAAAAAUUCCUACAAAUUGUAAAACAUAUUGAAGAACAAAGAGGAACAUGAUAUUCCUACUUAUUUUUUCCUUAAAAAUGGUUAUCAAUUCGAGUUUUACUUUUUUGUAGGAUUAUAUAUUUCUCCCGUGCAACAUCAACGAGUGAUAUUCUUAUUUUUUAUACUGUACAAUAAUUAAACGUGUUUUACUUUAAUCUAUGAGAUUGUGACAUUAUGCCAUACAUCAUAAACAUAUUUUACAUCCUAUAUUGCAAAAUUAUAGCAAAAUUUUUGUUCCAAAUUUUUCGAAAUUCAUUUUUGUUUUAUUUAACUAUUAACUGCUAAAUUAUUUUUUUUCAAUUCACUUUGUUUUUUCUUUUUAUUAAAUUCAAAUUGUCAUGGCCAGUUGAUUAAAUACUUCCUAUAAAGAAAAACAACAUUUAGUACAAAGUCUUUGUACUUAUUAAGUUACGAUAGGAUAUCACAUAUACAAACAACAUUCCUUACGAAUAACUUUUUUGAACUCUAAUUAAUUUAGGAUAACAAGAAAAAAAAAAGAUAUGAUAGACAUUUUAUUUAUGCACCGGUGCCAAAACGGCUACAAAGAUAAACGAAACGACAUAGAUAUGAAGCGGAUACAAGGGGACAAAGCCAUGAUGAUAGAUAGAUGCUUAAGAAGGUACGUAGUAGAGUGGAUUUGGGAGCUUAAAAACCCUUCCAGGAGUAUCCUCAACCAAAUCAGCCCAUUGGUCUCCAAUAUUGCCAACGAUGUUGUAUCCUUUCUUCACCAGGCUCUUCCUCACCUUUGACUUGUACACCACUUGCC
RNAcentral lists this long non-coding RNA (32806 nucleotides) under Arabidopsis lyrata. Its description in RNAcentral is "long non-coding RNA (ALYR_LNC001302)". The record is from RNAcentral. Lineage: Eukaryota; Viridiplantae; Streptophyta; Magnoliopsida; Brassicales; Brassicaceae.